Molecule: transfer RNA, 774 nt
Filed under: uncultured cyanobacterium
Lineage: Bacteria; Bacillati; Cyanobacteriota
Description: partial 16S-23S ribosomal RNA intergenic spacer
Rfam family: tRNA (bases 267-339)
Source: RNAcentral
CAGGGAGACAAAACAAUGAUUUUGAUGCUGAGUGCUUUUAUUCUUAGGCCGAAAUCCUGUCACAUUAGGUCGAUCGGUACCUCAGCUUUGAAGUUAAGGAUCAGCAGCAAUGUUGAUUGCUUGAUGGAGAUUUUCAGUUCCUAAACUUUGUCUAGGUCACACCCCAAAAGGGAUGAGACUCCUGGGCCAUUAGCUCAGGUGGUUAGAGCGCACCCCUGAUAAGGGUGAGGUCCCUGGUUCAAGUCCAGGAUGGCCCAUUCGGUGUUGGGGGUUUAGCUCAGUUGGUAGAGCGCCUGCUUUGCAAGCAGGAUGUCAGGAGUUCGAGUCUCCUAACCUCCACUGACCGAACUUGAUUCCCAUCUCCAAUUUUUUGGAGUUGAGCUCGAUUGGAGUGUGAUUUAGAUGUGUCCGCUGGAUGACCCCAGCUUCCUGUCAUUCCAAGUUUUAGAUUUUAAGUCUUGAAUUUGGUUGAUAAGAUGCUGGGCUCGGAUCAAAUGAUCAAGCAAUUGAUGAUUUGAUUUGAAGUUCUAGCAGAACCUUGACAACUGCAUAGGUGAGUCUGGAAAAAACAAAGCAUCUUACAGAUGCAUUGUUUUGAAUCUGAUCUUCUGAAAGGGAGAUUGGAUCUAGAACAAUGAAAAUUCUUUUGAGCAAGAGCCGAGACUCUUGAGCGUUCUUUGAUUGGUGUCGAGCCAAUCAGAGUUUGAUCUUGUUUUUAGCAAUAAAAACUUGAGAAUCUGCUUUCAACGGCGGUAAGCGUUCAGGAGGUUAAUU